AGAGUCCGGCUCAGGCUCCGGCUGCGGCUCCAGCCCGCGAUGCCCCAUUCCGUGACCCUGCGCGGGCCUUCGCCCUGGGGCUUCCGCCUGGUGGGCGGCCGGGACUUCAGCGCGCCCCUCACCAUCUCACGGGUCCAUGCUGGCAGCAAGGCUGCAUUGGCUGCCCUGUGCCCAGGAGACCUGAUCCAGGCCAUCAAUGGUGAGAGCACAGAGCUCAUGACACACCUGGAGGCACAGAACCGCAUCAAGGGCUGCCACGAUCACCUCACACUGUCUGUGAGCAGGCCUGAGGGCAGGAGCUGGCCCAGUGCCCCUGAUGACAGCAAGGCUCAGGCACACAGGAUCCACAUCGACCCUGAGAUCCAGGUAUGUACAGACACUGCCUGGCCUGGCCUGGCUCAGAGCAUGCAGGUUCACCUGCACUGAGUGUCCUCACUGGGGCUCUCAGAUACCCAAGACAGAGACUGAAGCAGAAGUUUUCUCUGGACCACAUCCAUACCCCAUCCCAUGUUCCUCAGAUGAUGAGCACCUGGUGUGGGCUCUGUCUCUACUCCGGGCA
RNAcentral lists this small RNA (559 nucleotides) under Pan troglodytes (chimpanzee). RNAcentral's name for it is "retained intron". The record is from RNAcentral. Lineage: Eukaryota; Metazoa; Chordata; Mammalia; Primates; Hominidae.